Molecule: ribosomal RNA, 751 nt
Filed under: Actinomadura bangladeshensis
Lineage: Bacteria; Bacillati; Actinomycetota; Actinomycetes; Streptosporangiales; Thermomonosporaceae
Description: bacterial SSU rRNA
Rfam family: Bacterial small subunit ribosomal RNA
Source: RNAcentral
GGGAUAAGCCCGGGAAACUGGGUCUAAUACCGGAUACGACCAGCCCCUGCAUGGGGUGUUGGUGGAAAGUUUUUCGGUUGGGGAUGGGCUCGCGGCCUAUCAGCUUGUUGGUGGGGUGAUGGCCUACCAAGGCGACGACGGGUAACCGGCCUGAGAGGGCGACCGGUCACACUGGGACUGAGACACGGCCCAGACUCCUACGGGAGGCAGCAGUGGGGAAUAUUGCGCAAUGGGCGGAAGCCUGACGCAGCGACGCCGCGUGAGGGAUGACGGCCUUCGGGUUGUAAACCUCUUUCAGCAGGGACGAAGCUAACGUGACGGUACCUGCAGAAGAAGCGCCGGCUAACUACGUGCCAGCAGCCGCGGUAAUACGUAGGGCGCAAGCGUUGUCCGGAAUUAUUGGGCGUAAAGAGCUCGUAGGCGGUUUGUCGCGUCUGUCGUGAAAGCCCACGGCUUAACCGUGGGUCUGCGGUGGAUACGGGCAGACUAGAGGCAGGUAGGGGAGAAUGGAAUUCCCGGUGUAGCGGUGAAAUGCGCAGAUAUCGGGAGGAACACCGGUGGCGAAGGCGGUUCUCUGGGCCUGUACUGACGCUGAGGAGCGAAAGCGUGGGGAGCGAACAGGAUUAGAUACCCUGGUAGUCCACGCCGUAAACGUUGGGCGCUAGGUGUGGGGUCCUUCCACGGAUUCCGCGCCGCAGCUAACGCAUUAAGCGCCCCGCCUGGGGAGUACGGCCGCAAGGCUAAAACUCAA